UGUUAAAAUUUUAUGGAAUCAAAUGAAACGGAAGUAAAGAGCAGCCAUCUUCUUAAAUUACUGGAUACGAACUAGUAAAGUACACCUAUCUUCUUAAAUUACUGGAUACACCUAAGAUAAUGCAUGUCCCCAUAGAGUUGCAACUGCCAAGCGCAUAAACAAGGGAAAUAAAAGGUGCAAAGGAAAAGUCAGUGGCAUAGACAUUGUUGAAGAGGUGAUCAUUUCAACGGAAUUCCCCUCUAUUUUCGCAUGAACAAGUGGUCAAUAUAUAUCCUCUCCUCCUCCAUAUGCGCUAGUUAAAUUACAUGCAAGCCCCUCAUUUCCUAUAUAUUAGUUUCAAGUUUCGAGUGCGUGGAUUAGUAUCCGUGUUACUCUGAAGGGGUUUUCUCUCUUUAAAGACUUUUCCUGAAAGCUGUCUGUUUGUCUGUCAAAGCAAGAAAGAAUUUUGUUUUUCCUAGCCCACUUUGAAGUUUGAAAGGUAGUUUUAUCUAAUGUCACAGUUAGUUACUGCCACUGCAUCAUUGGUUUUGCAAGUUCCACACCGUUGCUUCCAUUUUGAGCAGCUUGAUCGAGAGAAAUCUUGAUUUGUUUAAUGUAAUCGGAGCUUGUGGUUGGCCUGUCGUCAUAUCUUAUUCACAUCUAUGAAACCAAAAGUAAACCACUCUUCAAGCUCUGUGGUCGCUGGGUCCUUUUGGAUCAUCGGCAAUGUUUCGUGCUCUUGCUUAACCAGCUGUCCGGACAUCAAAGAUCCAACAUCUGCUUGGUUUGUCGGACCAUUAUUUUUCCGCAUUUACAAGACCUGUAUUCAAUGAACAUAGCUGUUAAUCACAUCUUAAAUUUAGUGUUUAUGUAACUUAAUUAAAUGACUUUGCUUUUUUGUGAUCAGGACAGGACACUGCAAUGACAAGUUAUCCAUCACUUCUA
This is a long non-coding RNA of Lycium barbarum (goji berry), 924 nucleotides long. RefSeq lists it as uncharacterized. The transcript has 2 exons. The record is from RefSeq and is a predicted model, not a curated record. NCBI's taxonomy places the organism in Eukaryota, Viridiplantae, Streptophyta, Magnoliopsida, Solanales, Solanaceae.